CUAAGUUGAUUAGGCUUGCUUCAGUAAGGGAGCAUGCCACCUUGACAGUCUUAGAGGGCCUCAGGAAGGUGACAGUGAGAGAGAACAUUUCCAAGGUUAUAGGUCCACGCUAGGUGAUUUCAAGCAGUGACAAAAUGUUAUCACCACCUUUCAAUUUACCUUUAAAGUGAAUAACAGCCCAGAUUGAGGCAGCCCUCCUGGUAGAGCCUGUGAGUGGACUUCUGACUUCCAAUCACCCUGACCUAUCAAGUGGCCACUGGGGUUCAGCAGCUGCAUGGGUCCAAGAAUGGGCUCCAAUCAUAGGCCCAAGUACAGGCUGGGUACAGCAACUCAGUGCCAGCCAGAGCACAACUGGGAACAGAGACCGAGCUAGCUGGAUGGGGACAGAAACUGGAACUGUGCUAAGCUUUGGCAUGGAUUGAACCAACAGCACAUAAUUUCUUGAGCCUGGUCCUUCUUCUGGGCUUGAUGAAGACAAGGCUGAAUGUCUUCGAUUGUGGGACAGACGGAGAUGAGACACUGGAAACCUGAGGGCAGUCUUUCAUUUCUACUCCAAUAAAUCUCACCGCUAC
Eptesicus fuscus (big brown bat) is the source of this 572-nucleotide long non-coding RNA. RefSeq lists it as uncharacterized. The record is from RefSeq and is a predicted model, not a curated record. The transcript has 4 exons. Lineage: Eukaryota; Metazoa; Chordata; Mammalia; Chiroptera; Vespertilionidae.